This is a long non-coding RNA of Gopherus flavomarginatus (Mexican gopher tortoise), 382 nucleotides long. RefSeq lists it as uncharacterized. The record is from RefSeq and is a predicted model, not a curated record. The transcript is spliced from 3 exons. NCBI's taxonomy places the organism in Eukaryota, Metazoa, Chordata, Testudines, Testudinidae.
UUUGAGGGGAAGCAUUGCAGUGUCCUGAAAAGUGUAUGACUGUGUGUAAAAACAAUAUACUGCAUCUGCCCAGGGCAUGAAGCAGAUGCCUUGGAUGGAGCUCUGGUGUUCUGGGCUCCUCCCACAGCCCAUGGCUGUUCCUGCCUCUCACCCUGCCACAGGGGAUGUGAAAAAGAAUUCCGAAUGUCAGCAAAACAACAUCUAAAGUACAAAGUCACCAGUAGGUUCCAAAAGCUACAUUCUGAACUCCAGCACUUUUCAGCUCUUCAGAAAGAAGGGAAAAUGUUGAUAAAUAUCCAAAAAAGGCAAACUGGUUAAAACUUUUUUGCGUGUAUUCUGUAUUAUUGAAAGUUGCUUUGUAAAGCUAUAUUGUCAGAAUGAA